AGUGAACGCUGGCGGUAGGCCUAACACAUGCAAGUCGAACGGCAGCACAGGAGAGCUUGCUCUCUGGGUGGCGAGUGGCGGACGGGUGAGGAAUACAUCGGAAUCCACUCUGUCGUGGGGGAUAACGUAGGGAAACUUACGCUAAUACCGCAUACGACCUACGGGUGAAAGCAGGGGAUCUUCGGACCUUGCGCGAUUGAAUGAGCCGAUGUCGGAUUAGCUAGUUGGCGGGGUAAAGGCCCACCAAGGCGAGGAUCCGUAGCUGGUCUGGGAGGAUGAUCAGCGAACCGGGAACUGAGACACGGUCCAGACUCCUACGGGAGGCAGCAGUGGGGAAUAUUGGACAAUGGGCGCAAGCCUGAUCCAGCCAUACCGCGUGGGUGAAGAAGGCCUUCGGGUUGUAAAGCCCUUUUGUUGGGAAAGAAAUCCAGCUGGCUAAUACCCGGUUGGGAUGACGGUACCCAAAGAAUAAGCACCGGCUAACUUCGUGCCAGCCGCCGCCGUAA
Molecule: ribosomal RNA, 506 nt
Filed under: uncultured bacterium
Lineage: Bacteria
Description: partial 16S ribosomal RNA
Rfam family: Bacterial small subunit ribosomal RNA
Source: RNAcentral